GCGGCGUGCCUAAUACAUGCAAGUCGAGCGAGCUUGCCUAGAUGAAUUUGGUGCUUGCACCAAAUGAAACUAGAUACAAGCGAGCGGCGGACGGGUGAGUAACACGUGGGUAACCUGCCCAAGAGACUGGGAUAACACCUGGAAACAGAUGCUAAUACCGGAUAACAACACUAGACGCAUGUCUAGAGUUUAAAAGAUGGUUCUGCUAUCACUCUUGGAUGGACCUGCGGUGCAUUAGCUAGUUGGUAAGGUAACGGCUUACCAAGGCAAUGAUGCAUAGCCGAGUUGAGAGACUGAUCGGCCACAUUGGGACUGAGACACGGCCCAAACUCCUACGGGAGGCAGCAGUAGGGAAUCUUCCACAAUGGACGCAAGUCUGAUGGAGCAACGCCGCGUGAGUGAAGAAGGGUUUCGGCUCGUAAAGCUCUGUUGGUAGUGAAGAAAGAUAGAGGUAGUAACUGGCCUUUAUUUGACGGUAAUUACUUAGAAAGUCACGGCUAACUACGUGCCAGCAGCCGCGGUAAUACGUA
This 530-nucleotide ribosomal RNA is filed under the name Lactobacillus gasseri. Its description in RNAcentral is "bacterial SSU rRNA". It matches the Rfam family "Bacterial small subunit ribosomal RNA", at positions 39 to 529 of the family's 1533-position model. The record is from RNAcentral. Lineage: Bacteria; Bacillati; Bacillota; Bacilli; Lactobacillales; Lactobacillaceae.